This 685-nucleotide ribosomal RNA is filed under the name uncultured Vibrionaceae bacterium. RNAcentral's name for it is "bacterial SSU rRNA". It matches the Rfam family "Bacterial small subunit ribosomal RNA", at positions 1 to 671 of the family's 1533-position model. Lineage: Bacteria; Pseudomonadati; Pseudomonadota; Gammaproteobacteria; Vibrionales; Vibrionaceae. The record is from RNAcentral.
UAGAGUUUGAUCAUGGCUCAGAUUGAACGCUGGCGGCAGGCCUAACACAUGCAAGUCGAGCGGAAACGACAUUAUUGAAUCUUCAGAGGAUUUAAUGGGCGUCGAGCGACGGACGGGUGAGUAAUGCCUAGGAAAUUGCCUUGAUGUGGGGGAUAACCAUUGGAAACGAUGGCUAAUACCGCAUAAUGCCUACGGGCCAAAGAGGGGGACCUUCGGGCCUCUCGCGUCAAGAUAUGCCUAGGUGGGAUUAGCUAGUUGGUGAGGUAAUGGCUCACCAAGGCGACGAUCCCUAGCUGGUCUGAGAGGAUGAUCAGCCACACUGGAACUGAGACACGGUCCAGACUCCUACGGGAGGCAGCAGUGGGGAAUAUUGCACAAUGGGCGAAAGCCUGAUGCAGCCAUGCCGCGUGUAUGAAGAAGGCCUUCGGGUUGUAAAGUACUUUCAGUUGUGAGGAAGGGUGUGUAGUUAAUAGCUGCGCAUCUUGACGUUAGCAACAGAAGAAGCACCGGCUAACUCCGUGCCAGCAGCCGCGGUAAUACGGAGGGUGCGAGCGUUAAUCGGAAUUACUGGGCGUAAAGCGCAUGCAGGUGGUUCAUUAAGUCAGAUGUGAAAGCCCGGGGCUCAACCUCGGAACUGCAUUUGAAACUGGUGAACUAGAGUGCUGUAGAGGGGGGUAGAAUUUCA